Molecule: non-coding RNA, 1149 nt
Organism: Musa acuminata subsp. malaccensis (wild Malaysian banana)
Lineage: Eukaryota; Viridiplantae; Streptophyta; Magnoliopsida; Zingiberales; Musaceae
Source: RefSeq, a predicted model, not a curated record
UGUCUCGACCAUCGCGUGGCUGUUCCUGUUGGUGUCGAGGAGGUGGCUCCGGCGACGCGUCGAGGUCGCUUCCAGGGUAUCUUCCCCAUGAAGGAGCGGCAGAUCUUCUAGGUCCUCCGCGAGAGAGGAAAGGGCUUUCACGAAUGAAGAGGCUGUUGAUUUUGGCGUUGCGUAUUUCCGAGAGUGUUUACAGGAGCAUACGCUCCGGUGGAUGACCAUAUUCGUGCUAGCUUCGGCGGGCAUCAAAGACAGGUGCAUGCCCAGCAUCAAAAGUUUUGGUUGCUAAUCACUGAUCAAUAACAGGCUUGGUGUUGCCAAUUGAAAAGAACAGUGGAAGGAUCGAGUUUUCUUUGUAUUGGCUAGCCUCAGCCAUUGAAGGCUUCUUCACUGUUCUCUCGAGUAUCAAAGUUUAAGUGAGCUGAUGUUAUCGGUAUUCAGUUUCAGCAGCAACCAUCAUCUUGCACGUCUAGGCACAACAAGAAUGGGAGGUGCUCUAGUCAAAGUACUUGAAUGAGCUCGAUAGGGUCUUUGGCACACUGCCAUCAUCUGAUGUUGAACAUUUAAAGAAUUCCUAAAUGGUUGAAGUUCUUGCUACUCUGACACAGGUGACGUUUAGGUCAAAUGUGCUGAUAUAAGUUGGAUCUAAUUAUGAAAAAGAGAUAAAUCAGGACUGCUGGAUGAUAUGAGGAUCAUUGGCUUCAUUUCCUUGGCCAACUUUGCUGAGUUUUCAACCUUCUAAAGAGCUCUAAGGUCUGUCUUUACACAUAGAUUUGGCUUUGUUUCAGCAAAUGUAGUGAAACAGGUAAUUGAUGAAUCUCUCUCUAGGAAAUCUAGUAUCUGUCUGUGUAAGAUGAAAGACCCAAGUUUUCUAUCAGAAGAAAGUGCCUCAGCAAUUUGAUUCAUUCAAGGUUAAUGAUUUCUGCUGUUCCAAAUUGGAUUCCAGAUCAUGUUGAACUAUCCUUGUUCACUGGUUGGUUUCAAGAAACUUUUAGUUUGGCGGCUGUGUUGCAAAGAUCAACAUGGAAAUUGAAGCACUUGAAAGCUUCCACACUUUCCUCUGCUUCAUCCUGCCUACUAUUGAGGUUUGAUCACAUCCCUCAAACAAAUUUUCAUGCAGCAAUCUCUUUAAUUAUCUGUACAAAUAUUAAG